RNAcentral lists this ribosomal RNA (465 nucleotides) under Vreelandella stevensii. RNAcentral describes it as "partial 16S ribosomal RNA". It matches the Rfam family "Bacterial small subunit ribosomal RNA", at positions 338 to 795 of the family's 1533-position model. The record is from RNAcentral. Lineage: Bacteria; Pseudomonadati; Pseudomonadota; Gammaproteobacteria; Oceanospirillales; Halomonadaceae.
CCUACGGGGGGCAGCAGUGGGGAAUAUUGGACAAUGGGGGCAACCCUGAUCCAGCCAUGCCGCGUGUGUGAAGAAGGCCCUCGGGUUGUAAAGCACUUUCAGUGAGGAAGAACGCCUGGUGGUGAAUACCCAUCAGGAAAGACAUCACUCACAGAAGAAGCACCGACUAACUCCGUGCCAGCAGCCGCGGUAAUACGGAGGGUGCGAGCGUUAAUCGGAAUUACUGGGCGUAAAGCGCGCGUAGGUGGCUUGAUAAGCCGGUUGUGAAAGCCCCGGGCUCAACCUGGGAACGGCAUCCGGAACUGUCAAGCUAGAGUGCAGGAGAGGAAGGUAGAAUUCCCGGUGUAGCGGUGAAAUGCGUAGAGAUCGGGAGGAAUACCAGUGGCGAAGGCGGCCUUCUGGACUGACACUGACACUGAGGUGCGAAAGCGUGGGUAGCAAACAGGAUUAGAUACCCGGGUAGUC